AGAGUUUGAUCAUGGCUCAGGAUGAACGCUAGCGGCAGGCUUAACACAUGCAAGUCGAGGGGUAUUGGUUUUCGGACCAAGAGACCGGCGCACGGGUGCGUAACGCGUAUGCAAUCUACCUUUCACAGAGGGAUAGCCCAGAGAAAUUUGGAUUAGUACCUCAUAGUAUAUAGAAGUGGCAUCACUUUUAUAUUAAAGUCACAACGGUGAAAGAUGAGCAUGCGUCCCAUUAGCUUGUUGGUAAGGUAACGGCUUACCAAGGCAACGAUGGGUAGGGGUCCUGAGAGGGAGAUCCCCCACACUGGUACUGAGACACGGACCAGACUCCUACGGGAGGCAGCAGUGAGGAAUAUUGGUCAAUGGACGCAAGUCUGAACCAGCCAUGCCGCGUGCAGGAUGACGGUCCUAUGGAUUGUAAACUGCUUUUGUACAGGAAGAAACAACUCUACGUGUAGAGUCUUGACGGUACUGUAAGAAUAAGGAUCGGCUAACUCCGUGCCAGCAGCCGCGGUAAUACGGAGGAUCCAAGCGUUAUCCGGAAUCAUUGGGUUUAAAGGGUCCGUAGGCGGUUUAGUAAGUCAGUGGUGAAAGCCCAUCGCUCAACGGUGGAACGGCCAUUGAUACUGCUAGACUUGAAUUAUUAGGAAGUAACUAGAAUAUGUAGUGUAGCGGUGAAAUGCUUAGAGAUUACAUGGAAUAC
This 700-nucleotide ribosomal RNA is filed under the name uncultured bacterium. RNAcentral describes it as "bacterial SSU rRNA". It matches the Rfam family "Bacterial small subunit ribosomal RNA", at positions 8 to 709 of the family's 1533-position model. The record is from RNAcentral.